GCAUAUCAAUAAGCGGAGGAAAAGAAACCAACAGGGAUUGCCCUAGUAACGGCGAGUGAAGCGGCAACAGCUCAAAUUUGAAAUCUGGCUCUCGGGCCCGAGUUGUAAUUUGUAGAGGAUACUUUUGAUGCGGUGCCUUCCGAGUUCCCUGGAACGGGACGCCAUAGAGGGUGAGAGCCCCGUCUGGUUGGAUGCCAAAUCUCUGUAAAGUUCCUUCAACGAGUCGAGUAGUUUGGGAAUGCUGCUCUAAAUGGGAGGUAUAUGUCUUCUAAAGCUAAAUACCGGCCAGAGACCGAUAGCGCACAAGUAGAGUGAUCGAAAGAUGAAAAGCACUUUGAAAAGAGAGUUAAAAAGUACGUGAAAUUGUUGAAAGGGAAGCGUUUAUGACCAGACUUGGGCUUGGUUAAUCAUCUGGGGUUCUCCCCAGUGCACUUUUCCAGUCCAGGCCAGCAUCAGUUUUCCCCGGGGGAUAAAGGCGGCGGGAAUGUGGCUCUCUUCGGGGAGUGUUAUAGCCCACCGUGUAAUACCCUGGGGGGGACUGAGGUUCGCGCAUCUGCAAGGAUGCUGGCGUAAUGGUCAUCAACGACCCGUCUUGAAACACGGACCAAGGAGUCGUCUUCGUAUGCGAGUGUUCGGGUGUCAAACCCCUACGCGUAAUGAAAGUGAACGCAGGUGAGAGCUUCGGCGCAUCAUCGACCGAUCCUGAUGUUCUCGGAUGGAUUUGAGUAAGAGCAUACGGGGCCGGACCCGAAAGAAGGUGAACUAUGCCUGUAUAGGGUGAAGCCAGAGGAAACUCUGGUGGAGGCUCGCAGCGGUUCUGACGUGCAAAUCGAUCGUCAAAUAUGGGCAUGGGGGCGAAAGACUAAUCGAACCUUCUAGUAGCUGGUUCCGCCGAGU
This 897-nucleotide ribosomal RNA is filed under the name Fusarium oxysporum f. sp. cepae. RNAcentral's name for it is "LSU rRNA". It matches the Rfam family "Eukaryotic large subunit ribosomal RNA", at positions 38 to 967 of the family's 3401-position model. The record is from RNAcentral. Lineage: Eukaryota; Fungi; Ascomycota; Sordariomycetes; Hypocreales; Nectriaceae.